GGACGGGUGAGUAACGCGUGGGUAACCUGCCUCAUACAGGGGGAUAACAGUUAGAAAUGACUGCUAAUACCGCAUAAGCGCACAGUGCUGCAUGGCACAGUGUGAAAAACUCCGGUGGUAUAAGAUGGACCCGCGUUGGAUUAGCUAGUUGGUGGGGUAACGGCCCACCAAGGCGACGAUCCAUAGCCGGCCUGAGAGGGUGAACGGCCACAUUGGGACUGAGACACGGCCCAGACUCCUACGGGAGGCAGCAUG
This 255-nucleotide ribosomal RNA is filed under the name uncultured bacterium. RNAcentral describes it as "partial 16S ribosomal RNA". It matches the Rfam family "Bacterial small subunit ribosomal RNA", at positions 100 to 353 of the family's 1533-position model. The record is from RNAcentral.